Molecule: ribosomal RNA, 484 nt
Filed under: uncultured bacterium
Lineage: Bacteria
Description: partial 16S ribosomal RNA
Rfam family: Bacterial small subunit ribosomal RNA
Source: RNAcentral
AUUGAACGCUGGCGGCAUGCUUUACACAUGCAAGUCGAACGGCAGCGCGGGCUUCGGCCUGGCGGCGAGUGGCGAACGGGUGAGUAAUACAUCGGAACGUGCCCAGUAGUGGGGGAUAGCUCGGCGAAAGCCGGAUUAAUACCGCAUACGACCUGAGGGUGAAAGCGGGGGAUCUUCGGACCUCGCGCUAUUGGAGCGGCCGAUGGCAGAUUAGCUAGUUGGUGGGGUAAAGGCCUACCAAGGCGACGAUCCGUAGCUGGUCUGAGAGGACGACCAGCCACACUGGAACUGAGACACGGCCCAGACUCCUACGGGAGGCAGCAGUAGGGAAUGUUGCGCAAUGGGCGAAAGCCUGACGGAGCAACGCCGCGUGAGUGAUGAAGGUCUUCGGAUCGUAAAACUCUGUUAUUAGGGAAGAACAAAUGUGUAAGUAACUAUGCACGUCUUGACGGUACCUAAUCAGAAAGCCACGGCUAACUACGUG